RNAcentral lists this ribosomal RNA (262 nucleotides) under uncultured archaeon. Its description in RNAcentral is "partial 16S ribosomal RNA". It matches the Rfam family "Archaeal small subunit ribosomal RNA", at positions 719 to 982 of the family's 1478-position model. The record is from RNAcentral.
AGUCACUGACAUUAGAUACCCGGGUAGUCCUAGGCGUAAAUGAUGCGAGUUAAGUGUGGGGGCAUCUACGAGAUGGCCCUGUGCUGUAGGGUAGCCGUUAAACUCGCUGCCUGGGAGUACGGUCGCAAGGCUGAAACUUAAAGGAAUUGGCGGGGAGCACCACAAGAGGUGGAGGCUGCGGUUCAAUUGGACUCAACGCCGGAAACUCAUCGGGAGCGACAGCAGUAUGAUUGCCAGGUUGAUGACCUUGCUUGACAAGCUG